CACCGUAAUAUCCUACACCUGUUUACAUAGAAACCCUACCUAAUUUUAACGUUUUCAAGUUUCCCUCCUCUCUGAACAUCGUAUCCUUCGCGCUCUCAAGAGAAAAUAAAAGCCGAAAGCAGAAAUCUCCUAGGCAAUUUCUCUUAAAAUCUUUUUUCUGGCCCCGAAUUUCUUUACUAUUUUAUUUUCUUCAUAACUCUACCUUUCUCCUUUGAAGCAAACAUAUCACUCCGUAGAAUUAGGCAUUUUCUCAAACUAGGUUUUCUUCUAUUUACAGAUUGGAGCUUUUUCAAACCGGAAUAAAAUUCAGGUAUUCUUUUUUUUUAUUUUUUCUAGGAAGUUUUUUCCAUUCGUUUUCUUAAUCUGACCGGAAACAAAGCAAGAAAUUGUCCGGGCAACUGCUUAGAUUUUGAUGGCACGUGGAAUGUACGGCUCCUCCAAAUAUUAAUUAUGAGCCAGGAAGUAAUUGCAUCGUGUAAAUACUCGGAAAUUAUUUCUGUAUUGGAGAAAUCAUAGAGAAGAUACAAAACCGAUAAACUGAAUGGCAAAUUACAAUGAAAUCGAUGAUAUUCUCGCGGAGGAAGAGUUUGUCCCGGUUGUGUUUCAAAAGGCUAUAAAUGGAGUGAAAAUCGAUGAAAGCACCGAAAAAGGACAUGUUGAACAAGGUUCAAAGACAGAGCUACCUUUCUGGCUUGCUCGUGAAUUGCACAUGAGGCAAGCAGUAUCGAUAAGUGUCCCAGCCUGUUUUAAUCAGAAAACAAGGCUGGAAAUCCAGGCAGAUGCUGCAUGUGUGGACCUGAGAUCCCGCUGCCCUUACUUUUAUGAAUUCGGAUGCAAGCUAGCCCCACUGUGUGAUAAAACCAUUGGAUUGUUGCUCCCAUAUGCAUUUCGAAUCAGGUAUAAGGAAAUCCUACACAAGGCACACACCACAGCAUUUGCCACAGCUUCCAAAUUUCUGACGCACCUAACUAGAGAAGAAACUUCUUUGUAUGAAGCAGCUCAAUCAUCCAUGGCAGCCUUUAAGAAAUGGCGGAUGGGUGGCCCCAGAUUGCAGAGAGCUUCAAUUCUCGGGAGGAAGAGAAAACCAGCUGAGUAGUUGCUCAUUGCUACCCUGCCAACACUCUCAAUUCAAACAACCAAGCUGCAAAGGUCACGACUACUCAAAGGAGAUUUCCAAGUUUCAAGUCCAGCUUUCUCUUGAUGCUGCGGCAUGCCCUUGUUUUUCAUGGUUGAAACAGAAUGUUGUUGGACUACAAGAAUCGAUGCGUGUUGUGCGAAGUCAGAUGUUGAUAAUGCAUCUCCUAGUGGCCCAAGCUCUUCACAGUUACUCCACUCCGAUAGCCCCAAAGCAAAUGGCUUUAUCAUUCCCUGACCCCUCCCCACAAUAUAUAGAUCAUAUUCAUCAGCUAGAUCUUUUGCUGCGAUGAUAAUUUCAUCCCCGCUAUUUACCGACUUAUCCACCCAAGUUGCAGAUGGAUUGCACAUUGUCAUAAAUCGUAACUCAUUCAGGUACAUAUCAUCAACAAAUCUUUGAUUUUCACCCUCCACUUCCUCUUCCAUAUCCAUCAUUUCUAUUGCUUCUUUACCUGGAAGAAAUCGUACAACUUUUAAACUCACAUUCAGAGACCCUGCCAUCCUGCAAGCAUAAGUUAAGGCCUCACGAUCGUCAUGUCCCCCAGUAUAAAACAUGGCAAAAUUUAGCUUUUCUCUGCGAUGGCUACCCUCGUUAUAAAUCUUCAAACUGAGGCCUCGAUCAAUAAAUAUCCCCACAGAGCAUGGAGCUUUUGUUAGUAGAUUUUGGGUUACUAGUCUGAUAGAAGAGUUCUCUUGUUGCAUCCCUUCUGCACCAGAUUGUUUGUGAAAUGGAAUUAGGAUGAAAGUCACGCGUUUGUCCUCAGCAAGGUUAUGGAUAUCCUCGUGCAUGGAGGUGUAAGGAGAUACAACUGUCAGUGGCAGAAAGGACAUUGACUGGUUUCUUCUUUCGUAGUUCUCCAAGGUGCUGAUGAUUUGGUCGGCAUCUGAUCUCCCACGGGCGGGGGGGUAGUUUUGGCCACUGGAAUUACGAUUCUCAUCGUGAACGAUUAGCAUGGCAUUAGUCCGUCCACUCAGACCUACUAGACACGCAGCAAAUACACAAAUUGGUGAUUUCUCGGUUGAAUUAGACAGUUCAAGGAGGUUGAGUAUUCCUGAUAGGUUGCGAGUAGUAUGAAUGCAUGCAAGUAUUCGUAGUUCUGAGUUAGGUUUGCUUUCUUGCAAGGUCCGGAGUUUGUAUUUCCUGAAAUGCUUGGUAGUCUUACAAGCCCAAAGGGGGAUCGGUUUUACAAGAAUCGUCAUGAGUAAAAUUGUCAUCACCAUUAUAGUAAACGGUUGGUUAUCCACAGCCUGCAUGUAAAAACAAGUUGCAAGAAAAUUAGAGGAUAAAAUAAAAAUCGAACUAUUCAAGUUGAGGGUGAAUUAAAGUUUCCUAUUCUUUUUCA
Molecule: RNA transcript, 2477 nt
Organism: Populus trichocarpa (black cottonwood)
Lineage: Eukaryota; Viridiplantae; Streptophyta; Magnoliopsida; Malpighiales; Salicaceae
Gene name: DNA replication complex GINS protein PSF3
Exons: 8
Source: RefSeq, a predicted model, not a curated record